UGAGAACUAAACCAAAUUGAAUGGUUAGGUUCAGUGUUGGCCCUUACGGGGAAAUAUGAUUUGGUUUUCCUCCAAAUCUAUUUGUGACCAGAGCUAUGAAAAGAAUUAAAUCUGUGAACCAAAGCGCCACAUAACUAUCAGGACAUUGGUGAGCAUUUAGUGUUCCCCGUGAAGAACCGUAGGUGUGAAGGAAAUCACAAGGGUGUGAAGCG
This 212-nucleotide long non-coding RNA is filed under the name Fukomys damarensis (Damara mole-rat). RNAcentral describes it as "lncRNA (ENSFDAG00000028252.1)". The record is from RNAcentral. Lineage: Eukaryota; Metazoa; Chordata; Mammalia; Rodentia; Bathyergidae.